RNAcentral lists this ribosomal RNA (253 nucleotides) under uncultured bacterium. Its description in RNAcentral is "partial 16S ribosomal RNA". It matches the Rfam family "Bacterial small subunit ribosomal RNA", at positions 524 to 776 of the family's 1533-position model. The record is from RNAcentral.
UACAGAGGUCCCAAGCGUUGUCCGGAUUUAUUGGGCGUAAAGCGCGUGUAGGCGGUCCGGUAAGUCCGCUGUGAAAGUCGGGGGCUCAACCCUCGAAUGCCGGUGGAUACUGUCGGGCUAGAGUGCGGAAGAGGCGAGUGGAAUUCCUGGUGUAGCGGUGAAAUGCGCAGAUAUCAGGAGGAACACCUAUUGCGAAGGCAGCUCGCUGGGACGGUACUGACGCUGAGGCGCGAAAGCGUGGGGAGCGAACAGG